CCUAGUCGAGCAGCCUCGACUAGAGUCUUCUCACUUGUUUCUAUUUAUUGCAGGCAAAAAAUAUGUCGGUAUCUGUUGAGUCAACCUGCUAAUAACUGUGAUUUGUAUGUAUGUAUAUUUAUUUAAAGUAGGCAUAUAAGUAUUCACAUUUAUAUAUGUACAUAAGCAGUUCUUUGCCACAUUCUGUAAGCUGACAGAUCUCCAAAUUUUAAAUAUGAUUAAUUCUAUCACAAUUCCGCAUAAAAUUCCUAUGUUAAACUUCUUACCUUUAAGAUAUUCAAAUGAACAAUCGGAGGGGUAACAACAACAAAGAGGGACAGAAAACUCACACCAGCAGAAUACAUCUCCAGGGAGGCGAAUUGAGCUGACAAAAUGGCGUCGAAGCAACGUGUCCAGAAAGAGCAACAAUGACAACAACGACAACGACAACAACAAUGUAAAUGGCAGCUGCAGAGUUUAAGUUGUUUCAUUACACAUAGUCGACAUUCAUAUACAUAUAUAUAUUUGUAUAUAUGUAUAUACAAUAUACCGUUUUACUGCUGCUUAUA
Drosophila mojavensis is the source of this 548-nucleotide long non-coding RNA. RefSeq lists it as uncharacterized. The transcript has 2 exons. The record is from RefSeq and is a predicted model, not a curated record. Lineage: Eukaryota; Metazoa; Arthropoda; Insecta; Diptera; Drosophilidae.